RNAcentral lists this ribosomal RNA (665 nucleotides) under uncultured organism. Its description in RNAcentral is "bacterial SSU rRNA". It matches the Rfam family "Bacterial small subunit ribosomal RNA", at positions 57 to 708 of the family's 1533-position model. The record is from RNAcentral.
GCAAGUCGAACGGUAUGCAUGGUGCUUGCACUGUGCUGAGAGUGGCGAACUGGUGAGUAACACGUAGGUGAUCUACCUUGAGGCCUGGGAGAGCCUGUGGAAACACAGGGUAAGACCGGAUGAGCCCCUGUACUUGCGGGUAGAGGGGGAAAGGUGCUAUGGCACCGCCUUAAGAUGAGCCUGCGUCCCAUUAGUUAGUUGGUGGGGUAAAGGCCUACCAAGGCGACGAUGGGUAGCCGGCCUGAGAGGGUGAUCGGCCACACUGGGACUGAGACACGGCCCAGACUCCUACGGGAGGCAGCAGCUAAGAAUCUUCCGCAAUGGACGAAAGUCUGACGGAGCGACGCCGCGUGAACGAAGAAGGCCGGAAGGUUGUAAAGUUCUUUUGCGGGUGAAGAAUAAGGCGAGGAGGGAAUGCCUCGCUGAUGACGUUAGCCUGUGAAUAAGCCCCGGCUAAUUACGUGCCAGCAGCCGCGGUAACACGUAAGGGGCGAGCGUUGUUCGGAAUUAUUGGGCGUACAGGGCGUGUAGGCUGUUUUGUAAGCCUGGUGUGAAAGUGCACGGCUUAACUGUGUAUGUGCGCUGGGAACUGCAAGACUAGAGUCCGGAAGGGGGAGGUAGAAUUCCUGGUGUAGGGGUGAAAUCUGUAGAUAUCAGGAAGAAUA